UGAUUACCCACCGUUGGAUGUAAAUUCAAUGGUUCAAAAUUUUUUUUUUAAUUGAGUGUAAGAGUGAGUGAACCGUUGAAUUUACAUCCAACAGUGAGUGAC
RNAcentral lists this microRNA precursor (102 nucleotides) under Prunus dulcis (almond). Its description in RNAcentral is "sRNA ncRNA". The record is from RNAcentral. Lineage: Eukaryota; Viridiplantae; Streptophyta; Magnoliopsida; Rosales; Rosaceae.